AGUGAACGCUGGCGGUAGGCCUAACACAUGCAAGUCGAACGGCAGCACAGUAAGAGCUUGCUCUUACGGGUGGCGAGUGGCGGACGGGUGAGGAAUACAUCGGAAUCUACUUUUUCGUGGGGGAUAACGUAGGGAAACUUACGCUAAUACCGCAUACGACCUACGGGUGAAAGCAGGGGAUCUUCGGACCUUGCGCGAUUGAAUGAGCCGAUGUCGGAUUAGCUAGUUGGCGGGGUAAAGGCCCACCAAGGCGACGAUCCGUAGCUGGUCUGAGAGGAUGAUCACCCACACUGGAACUGAGACACGGUCCAGACUCCUACGGGAGGCAGCAGUGGGGAAUAUUGGACAAUGGGCGCAAGCCUGAUCCAGCCAUACCGCGUGGGUGAAGAAGGCCUUCGGGUGGUAAAGCCCUUUUGUUGGGAAAGAAAAGCAGCAGGUUAAUACCCCGCUGUUCUGACGGUACCCAAAGAAUAAGCACCGGCUAACUUCGUG
RNAcentral lists this ribosomal RNA (492 nucleotides) under uncultured bacterium. Its description in RNAcentral is "partial 16S ribosomal RNA". It matches the Rfam family "Bacterial small subunit ribosomal RNA", at positions 29 to 507 of the family's 1533-position model. The record is from RNAcentral.